RNAcentral lists this ribosomal RNA (254 nucleotides) under uncultured bacterium. RNAcentral's name for it is "partial 16S ribosomal RNA". It matches the Rfam family "Bacterial small subunit ribosomal RNA", at positions 524 to 777 of the family's 1533-position model. The record is from RNAcentral.
UACGUAGGAUGCAAGCGUUGUCCGGAAUUAUUGGGCGUAAAGAGCGCGCAGGCGGUAUGACAAGUCAGAUGUGAAAGAGGCCGGCUUAACCGGCAAGGGUCAUUUGAAACUGUCAGACUAGAGUGCAGCAGAGGAUAGUGGAAUUCCCGGUGUAGUGGUGAAAUGCGUAGAUAUCGGGAGGAACACCAACAGCGAAGGCAGAUCUCUGGGACGUAACUGACGCUGAGACGCGAAAGCGUGGGGAGCAAACAGGG